This 433-nucleotide ribosomal RNA is filed under the name uncultured bacterium. RNAcentral's name for it is "bacterial SSU rRNA". It matches the Rfam family "Bacterial small subunit ribosomal RNA", at positions 28 to 424 of the family's 1533-position model. The record is from RNAcentral.
GAUGAACGCUGGCGGCGUGCCUAAUACAUGCAAGUCGAACGGACUGUGGUAAUUAUGAUUGAAGAGCUUGCUCGGAGAGAUUAAUUACAAUGCAGUCAGUGGCGAACGGGUGAGUAACACGUGGGAAACCUACCUCUUAGCAGGGGAUAACAUUUGGAAACAGAUGCUAAUACCGUAUAACAAUUAGAACCGCAUGGUUCAAGUUUAAAAGAUGGUUCUGCUAUCACUAAGAGAUGGUCCCGCGGCGUAUUAGCUAGAUGGUGAGGUAAUGGCUCACCAUGGCAAUGAUACGUAGCCGAGUUGAGAGACUGAUCGGCCACAUUGGGACUGAGACACGGCCCAAACUCCUACGGGAGGCAGCAGUAGGGAAUCUUCCACAAUGGACGAAAGUCUGAUGGAGCAACGCCGCGUGUGUGAUGAAGGCUUUCGGGUC